GAGACCCUAGUAAACUAUUACGUAGCUCUGUCAGCGCUAAAUAAAAGGUAAACCCCUUUGGGACUCC
This 67-nucleotide transfer RNA is filed under the name Cyrtodactylus auribalteatus (Golden-belted bent-toed gecko). Its description in RNAcentral is "tRNA Asp". The record is from RNAcentral. Lineage: Eukaryota; Metazoa; Chordata; Lepidosauria; Squamata; Gekkonidae.